UACGUAGGGGGCAAGCGUUGUCCGGAUUUAUUGGGCGUAAAGAGCGUGUAGGCGGUUAGGUAGGUCCGUUGUGAAAACUCGAGGCUCAACCUCGAGACGCCGAUGGAAACCAUCUAACUAGAGUCCGGAAGAGGAGAAUGGAAUUCCUGGUGUAGCGGUGAAAUGCGCAGAUAUCAGGAAGAACACCCGUGGCUAAGGCGGGUCUCUGGGCAGUAACUGACGCUGAGGAGCGAAAGCGUGGGGAGCGAACAGG
This 253-nucleotide ribosomal RNA is filed under the name uncultured bacterium. RNAcentral describes it as "partial 16S ribosomal RNA". It matches the Rfam family "Bacterial small subunit ribosomal RNA", at positions 524 to 776 of the family's 1533-position model. The record is from RNAcentral.